Molecule: microRNA precursor, 92 nt
Filed under: Mesocricetus auratus (golden hamster)
Lineage: Eukaryota; Metazoa; Chordata; Mammalia; Rodentia; Cricetidae
Description: miRNA (ENSMAUG00000005806.1)
Source: RNAcentral
AGAGGCAGGCAGAUCUCUGUGAGUUCGAGGCCAGCCUGGUCUACAAAGUGAGUUCCAGGACAGCCUCCAAAGGCACAGAGAAACCCUGUCUC